UGAGGAAUAUUGCACAAUGGGGGAAACCCUGAUGCAGCAACGCCGCGUGAAGGAUGAAGGCUUUCGAGUUGUAAACUUCUUUUCUGGGGGAAGAGGAAGGACGGUACCCCAGGAAUAAGACACGGCUAACUACGUGCCAGCAGCCGCGGUAAUACGUAGGUGUCGAGCGUUAUCCGGAAUUACUGGGCGUAAAGGGCACGCAGGCGGCUGUUCAAGUUCGGCGUGAAAGCUCCCGGCUAAACUGGGAGAGGCCGUUGAAAACUGAGCAGCUUGAGGCAAUGAGAGGGAUGCGGAAUUCCCGGUGUAGUGGUGGAAUGCGUAGAUAUCGGGAAGAACACCAGUGGCGAAAGCGGCAUCCUGGCAUUGAACUGACGCUGAGGUGCGAAAGCGUGGGUAGCGAAC
This 402-nucleotide ribosomal RNA is filed under the name uncultured bacterium. Its description in RNAcentral is "bacterial SSU rRNA". It matches the Rfam family "Bacterial small subunit ribosomal RNA", at positions 355 to 773 of the family's 1533-position model. The record is from RNAcentral.